UACGAAGGGGGCUAGCGUUGCUCGGAAUCACUGGGCGUAAAGGGUGCGUAGGCGGGUCUUUAAGUCAGGGGUGAAAUCCUGGAGCUCAACUCCAGAACUGCCUUUGAUACUGAAGAUCUUGAGUUCGGGAGAGGUGAGUGGAACUGCGGGUGUAGAGGUGAAAUUCGUAGAUAUUCGCAAGAACACCAGUGGCGAAGGCGGCUCACUGGCCCGAUACUGACGCUGAGGCACGAAAGCGUGGGGAGCAAACAAG
This 253-nucleotide ribosomal RNA is filed under the name uncultured bacterium. Its description in RNAcentral is "partial 16S ribosomal RNA". It matches the Rfam family "Bacterial small subunit ribosomal RNA", at positions 524 to 776 of the family's 1533-position model. The record is from RNAcentral.